AUAUACUAGUGCAGUAUUACCAUGAGCUUAUUGAUUAUAUUUUGAUGAAAUUGCAGCAUGAAAUGGUGUUGGUUUUUAAGAAUUUCAAAAUGCAACAGAAUCAAUAGAAAACUGAUCUGUUUAUUCAAAUAUUCCUUUCUAAAUAAUCUUAGACAUUACAGGUUGAAGUAUUUAAAUAUCAGGCUACAUAAUUGACUUAAAAUCACACAGGAUCUUAGCCUUGAUAUCAGCCAUGAUCUCAGACAUUAUUAUCACACAAUAAAUCAAAGAAAGCAAAUAAUCAGGGAUUCAAAUAUAGCAGAUUAAUAGUCCAUGUCAGCAGUCCUAAACACAUCUUUCAACAAAUGGCAAGGGGGGACAGUCCAAAAUCAAUCCAGUGUUACAUGAAUGACAAAGGUGUCUCGGAAGAAGCGAGAAAGCACAUUAAGGACUUGAUAACUGAAACAUGGAAGGAGUUAAAUGCAGAGAGGCUGGCUAGCUGUAGACUUUUCACAUGUUGAAUGGAUGAUAACUAGCAAAAACUGACAUGGGCGAUUGACAAUCUUCACAUGGUUUCAAGCCACGUUAAUGUAUAUGAAAAUGGCAGUUGUGUUCUUCUUGCAAACACCAUCUUUUGAUACUCAUUUUGCCGUAUUAAGUCUGAGUUUGCAAGAACACAACUGCCAUUUUCACAUUAUAAACUCGCAAACGCUUCUCGCCGUAUGCAGAUUUACUUUCACAAAAGUAGCCAAAUGCACUGAACUCACAAGUUGAGACGCAUCACACAACUAUCAACUUUCCCUUGCUAUACAAUACAAUCUGAUCACGGCAUAAACCCCAAAGUGUUAAGUGUCUGAUAAUAUUCCCCAACCAGUUUUGACACUAAGAUAAACCCUCAAUACAUGACACUAAGAUAAACAUUUUAUGUUGAUGUUGCUCAUGGAUUGCUGUAUAUAUAACAAACUCUAGUGGUCUCUUUCUCUGCAAGUUUUCUGUAUUGUAUUCUCUACAUUUUCUUGAGCAUAUACAAUUUAUAUUUGUCAACAAUUUCCUCACAAUCCACUCAAACAUGUCUGCAUUACGCAACUUAUUGAAUGUUGCUGUGAAUGUGCAAAGUGCACAAGGCAGGCCCCUGACUAUAACUUUCAGUGACUCAAUUUUGAAGGGGGAAAAUGUUGCAAUAAGAGUUGAGCUGAGCAAUGGCUGUGUAGGAUGGGGAGAGGCUCAACUCUUAUUGCAACAUUUUCCCCCUUCAUAAUUGAGUCA
RNAcentral lists this long non-coding RNA (1245 nucleotides) under Daucus carota (carrot). Its description in RNAcentral is "long non-coding RNA (DCAR_LNC002317)". Lineage: Eukaryota; Viridiplantae; Streptophyta; Magnoliopsida; Apiales; Apiaceae. The record is from RNAcentral.